AGUAAGGUUGCCGGGCUAUAAGGAGGUGUGGCACCAGAUGGGGUUCAUAUCGGGAGUACGGGGCAUUAAGCAGCUUUUGAGAUCGAGGGACUCGUGAAUAUUUUGGUCUUUUUUGGUUGUACAUUUUUAUUGUAGGAAAUCUGGUAGCGGCAAUUUUUAAGCUUCUUGUCCAGAAAAUUCAGUAGGCUUUAUAUUAAUACAUAAAAUUGAGAAUGGAA
RNAcentral lists this long non-coding RNA (218 nucleotides) under Mytilus galloprovincialis (Mediterranean mussel). The record is from RNAcentral. Lineage: Eukaryota; Metazoa; Mollusca; Bivalvia; Mytilida; Mytilidae.